AAGCGAAUAUGUUGGAUAACAAGGAGAGAUUAAGGAGAAGCCAAUUAAACAUCAAAUUAGGUUAUGAUUUUACAAAUUAAGCACCAAAACAUCAUGUUAUACAACAAAUUUGACAGAAAAGGUAGUUCAAUAUGCAGUAAUGUUAGGUAGUAAUUACCGUAUUUACGAAUUUAGCAGCAAAAUAUCAAAGCUGUUUCAAUGAAAAGAACAGGAAUCCCCAGAAUCCAACAUAAGAGUAAAUCCAGGAAACAAGGCUUAAAACAUGAACAUGAAUCCCAAAGUUAAUCCAUAAAACAAGGAGCAAAACAUGAGCAUGAAUCCAAAGGUACUGUAUUUCCAUAAAACCAGCAUCAAAACAUGACAUGAAUCUUGAGUCUUGAACUAGAGCUUGAACUGGGAAUAAGACAGGAGUUCUUCACAUGGAUAGCGAUGUUGCUUUAUCUAUCUAACUUAAGGGCUGCAAAUCAUGAACACAUUUCUUUGACCUUGAAGGGCCUGCUUCUGCCUCUCUUUCUCACUGAUUCCUUCCUAUUUCCUGCACCUGAAUCUCUGCCCACUCAGAAGCAGCCUGGUAUCUCUGUCUAAGCCAGCUGCUCCCUCAGAUGAGCUAAUGUUUUCGUGGGUUGCUAAACUCCUUGUGGGUGAAAGGUCCUCUCCUUGCCUGUUGGAUUCCAAAACAAUUCUACUUUCACACUCUGUCUCAGAGACUGCAUGUUGCUCUAAAACUCCUUUCUUUUCUUCCCCCUCAUCUGGAUCUGGUUCCAGCAUUCUCCUGGGCCUUAAAACCCCAGUCCCCUCAUCUUCAUCUGGCUGAACCAUUUCUGGUGGCUGUGCAUGGAAAUGCGUCUUGCCAGCAUGUGAAGAUGGAGAGAGGACUCCUGAUUGAAGAAAAUAGUGGGAAGCAGAGGACAACUGGAAGGAGACAAGGAAACAUUGUGGGAUAGCUGGUCAUCCCUGAAGACAGAUCUUGCUGGGAGGAAUUAUUAAUGGACAAUGGAACACUGACAGUUGAAACUAGCAGAAAGUAGAGGUUGCUGUACUCGGCUGGUGUUCUCUGCAAAUCAUCUGGACAGCUGAGACCGUGAAAUUGAUCCAGACGGUGACCCUUGAGAAAAGCCCGGUGCCCUUAAUGGCCAUAUGUGUAGACCACGUCAAAUCCUGUCCUUCUUUUGCUACUGUGGAAUGAGAAAAAUGUCCCCGUCUGAAGGGGUAGGCAUGAGAUUUUCAGGUGUUCCUAAAACAUACAAGCAAGGGGAGAUGGUUUGACUUUAAACUGCUUCAUCAAAGUUUUCCAAAUGUUGAUUUCAUCGAUUAUUAGUGGUGUGUAUAAAUGAAAAGAGCAAAACAAAAACAAAAGUUCAAAAUGUCCUUUACAAAAAUCAAGACUGGAUGAUGAAGAAUUCUGUUAGUGAUCAGUAAACCCACCCCUUUCAUUCUAUCAGUCAGGUGUCUGAAUAAUAAAAUGCAGGUGUCUUUUGGUGCUAAUAGUAGGUCUUCCAGCAGGAAAGUGGGUGCAAAGUUAAACCACAUGUACUACUUAAAAAAACAAGCGAGGUGUGAUUUGGCAAGUCUUUUGUCUCCCCUGCCCCACAGUGUAAAGGGAAAGUGAAUGCUUGGGCCAUAUUGUGUGGCUGUGUGAUCCGCAGUUAACCCUUGGCCACAUUGAUUCCUUUGUAGAAAUCUAAUGGGGCAAAAGGUUAGGUGGAGCUCAUUACUACAGACAGCUUUUAAAUCACAGUGGUAAUAUGGCCAUUCCACAUGGCAAUGUGUUCUUCCAAUACCUCAGGUUCAAUAUAGAAGAUGUGCUAGUAAGUUCAUGCCUCCUCCUCCUCCAUCACCACCAUCAUCACCACUCCCUAUCAUUUUUUUAUACCCUGCCUUUACACCAAAAUUGAGACCUAAGGCAACUUGAGACAAAUCCUUUUUAAAAUUGUCUUUAUUUAUUUAAGGUAACUGAACAAAUAAACCCAGUGAAAUUGAUAGUAUAUUCCUGCAUGGAAGGGAGUUAAUCCUGAUGUUCCUUGUGGUUGUUUCCAGCUCUAUGACUCUAUGAAAAAAUAGAGAUUUAUUUUUAAAAAAACACAUGCACAUUAAAAUACUCUUUUAGACCCCUAAAAGCACUCUGAAACAACCCCAGAAUCCAGUUUUAAAACAGUGAACACUAUGAAGAAUGGCACUGUUUUAAGCCUGCCAGAAGCUUAAAAGAGAUGGGGCUAGCCUAAACCUCUUGGGUAGGGAGUUCUACACAUAAGGCACCACAACAGAGAAAACCCUGUUGUAUUUAUUUCAUCUUAACUGUAUGUGGUGUUGGGACAUGCAAGAGCCCUUCUUCUGAAGAUCUCAGAUAUCUGGCAGACUCAUAUGAGAGGAGGCAGUAUUUCACAUAUUUUGGCCCCAGGUCAUUUAGAGAUUUGUGGGUCAAAACCAGCACAUUAAAUUGAGCUUGGAAGCAAACUGGAAGCACUUUCUUUAUUCAUUGCACUUUUUGUGAGGUUGCCUCUUUUCACAGAUCAUUUUCCAUAUGAGAAGUGGGUGCCUUUUAGUCAUGUGCAUUUGGGGCAAACCUUGAUUCAUUUUGUGUCCCGGCUUUCGGUGAGAGCUCCGAUCUGUUUUGUUUGCGCCUCCCAAAAUCGAGAAGGCAGAUAUUUGUUCUUUUGUCUUCAGUGCGGAAAGAUCCAUUUUCUUUCAGCCCAUUAUGGGGGGCCCAUUAUGGCACUUUAUGGCACUUUGGGCCUAUGCCUAUGCGCUAGGGCCUCGCAGGGUCUGCUGCAGACUCUGCAGCCGAGCGUAGUGUAAGGACGCUCAGGCGUAUAGGCCUAAAGAUUGCACCCAUAGGCCCAAAGCACCCAGGCCUACAGGUUUAUGGAAAUGCUGUAGUUUUACUCCAAUUAAAAUCAGAAUUUUUAAAUAUCCAGUAGGGUUUAUAUUAACCAUUUGUGUGUCCUGUAAAAUAAAAUAAUAUAUAGUAUCAAAAUAAAAUAGGCAUUACAUACAAUAAACUUAUGAGUCAAGGCUGGUACAAAAGUAGGUGAAUCCUCAGUUGUAUCAGUUCAAUUAAAGGGAGCAAUUUGAAUCAAAUAUGUCAGCAAUUAAGUAGGUUGUAAAAUUGGGAGACUCGGUUUUAUAAAAGGAUCUGAAACUGUGAAUUUGCUCUUCACUUUACAAAUGUGUAGAAACAUGGCAUGUCACAAUCAAGAGAUAAACCUGAGGAUUUCAAAACGUGCAGUAGUUACUGCUCCUCAGACUAGAAAAGUUUAGAAAGAUUUACAAAACAAUUUCCAUUUGAAAAAAGUUCAAAACUACAAGUCAGUCCACUCAAACUUUGCCCAAUUUCACCUCCACCCCCCUAAAGGGAGCAAAAGUUUUACAGAUGAUGUUCACUUGACUCAUAUGAAGAAUGUCCACCAAGACUUAACAAUCAAAAAAAGAUUAAACAAGAACGGUGUUCCUAGAUUGCUACUCAAGGAAAUCACUGAUAUCUAAAAAGAUCAAUGCUGGUUGUCUGAAGCUCAUUCAGAAAACCCCCAAGACUCCUGGAAUAAUAGUCUCUGAACAGAUGAAGUAAAUGUUGCUUUUUUUUCAAAAUGGAAAAAGUAAUGUCUAGUAAAAAAAGAAGAAGCUACUGCUCUUUUAAUUUUAAAUCCAUAAUUUCAAAUUAAAUGAUUCAAAAGAUAAUGAAAACAGAAUGCGAGAGGUUGAAGAAGAUGGGGAAAGAUGGAACUGGAUCAAGAAUUAUAUUAUGAAUAAGUCCAGAGAUCAGGCCAUAAGAAAUAGGAUACAAAUGUUAUAUAGUAUCUAAAUCUAUAAGGAUUUUCUCAAAAAGGAUUAAUAUGUAAAAGAAAAUAAUUCUCGUGAUGGUGGUAAUUGUAAAUGUCGUGUAUGUGUAUGCCCUAAAAUAAAUAAAUAAAUAAUUGUUUUUAAAAAAAGAAAAGCUACAUCUGAAACAUUAAACAUGAAUGGAAAUGCAAUCAUUUCAGUUCACUUUGGUGUUUCAGAUCCUGGAUGGCUUGUUAUCAUCAACAAAUCAAUGAAUUUUGCAUUGUACCAGAAGAUUCCAGCAGAUAAAGUUAUCUGAAGCUGAAAGAAAGUAUACUAAGCCCUAAACAUACAGAUCUACCAUAAAAUUGCUUUGUCAGAAGACAUUCUUGAUAUUUGAAUUGCAUACUCAAAAUCCAGAGCUCACUCCAUCAAAAUCUUCAAAUAGGACCUAACAGCUUUGUAAGGAAGAAAGGACCCAAAUACCAUAAAACUAAUUGAGAGACUGGCCAUCAUUUAAUAUUAUUUGCUCAAAUGGAUGUUAUUGUAUCAUAUAUUUUUCUCCAUAUAGAUAUUAACUGUAAGUUUACAUAUGUAAAAAAAUAAACAUU
Long non-coding RNA from Anolis carolinensis (green anole), 4367 nucleotides. RefSeq lists it as uncharacterized. Lineage: Eukaryota; Metazoa; Chordata; Lepidosauria; Squamata; Anolidae. The transcript is spliced from 3 exons. The record is from RefSeq and is a predicted model, not a curated record.